GAAUAGACUACAGGGGCCAAAGCUUUGAUUUAGAAACAAGAACUAGGUGAUUUGGUUGAGAAUUGAGAGAGUUAUGGGAUUUUUGGUGUGGGUGAGUUUGAGAGAGUAUGAGUGUUUGGGAGGGGAGGGAGAGUGAGGAAGAUGAAAAUCGAGGGUUGUGGGCUAGGUUUAGGGUCGUCCGGUUCGGUUUAGGUGGGAAGGGACCG
RNAcentral lists this long non-coding RNA (206 nucleotides) under Brassica napus (rape). RNAcentral's name for it is "long non-coding RNA (BNAP_LNC019826)". The record is from RNAcentral. Lineage: Eukaryota; Viridiplantae; Streptophyta; Magnoliopsida; Brassicales; Brassicaceae.